GCUUAACCGGAGAAGUGCAUCGGAAACUGGGAGACUUGAGUGCAGAAGAGGACAGUGGAACUCCAUGUGUAGCGGUGGAAUGCGUAGAUAUAUGGAAGAACACCAGUGGCGAAGGCGGCUGUCUAGUCUGUAACUGACGCUGAGGCUCGAAAGCAUGGGUAGCGAACAGGAUUAGAUACCCUGGUAGUCCAUGCCGUAAACGAUGAGUGCUAAGUGUUGGAGGGUUUCCGCCCUUCAGUGCUGCAGCUAACGCAUUAAGCACUCCGCCUGGGGAGUACGACCGCAAGGUUGAAACUCAAAGGAAUUGACGGGGGCCCGCACAAGCGGUGGAGCAUGUGGUUUAAUUCGAAGCUACGCGAAGAACCUUACCAGGUCUUGACAUCUUCUGCCAAUCUUAGAGAUAAGACGUUCCCUUCGGGGACAGAAUGACAGGUGGUGCAUGGUUGUCGUCAGCUCGUGUCGUGAGAUGUUGGGUUAAGUCCCGCAACGAGCGCAACCCUUAUUAUCAGUUGCCAGCAUUCAGCUGGGCACUCUGGUGAGACUGCCGGUGACAAACCGGAGGAAGGUGGGGAUGACGUCAAAUCAUCAUGCCCCUUAUGACCUGGGCUACACACGUGCUACAAUGGACGGUACAACG
RNAcentral lists this ribosomal RNA (637 nucleotides) under uncultured bacterium. Its description in RNAcentral is "bacterial SSU rRNA". It matches the Rfam family "Bacterial small subunit ribosomal RNA", at positions 607 to 1244 of the family's 1533-position model. The record is from RNAcentral.